Molecule: non-coding RNA, 750 nt
Organism: Misgurnus anguillicaudatus (oriental weatherfish)
Lineage: Eukaryota; Metazoa; Chordata; Actinopteri; Cypriniformes; Cobitidae
Source: RefSeq, a predicted model, not a curated record
GUUGUUAUCUUGCAAGAUUUAAAUGAAGUGAUGGUGGCAGCAUCAAACUGGUUGUCCCCAGACAAGACCCGAUGUUAUUGGCCACCAUUCAAAUCACCAGAUAAAUGUACAGAUGCUCUUAUGAACAGAAUUCAGCCUUUAACAGCAGGAAAACCAUGGGAGAUGCUAAACGUUCAAUUUAAUGGAGAACAUGUCACAUUGGAACAGGCUCAGAAGGCAACAGAUGUAAUUAAACAAACACACUGCAUCACUGGGAUCCUAAAAAAACAAGACUUGAACAUCCUCAAGAAAUGUACAAAAAUCUAUUUCAUCCACCAUCAGUACCAUUCACAUCUACAUCUACAUCUACAAUGCCAGCUGAUGACAAGGAAGAAAUCCUCCAUAUGCUGAGAGAAAUCAAGACCAAGGUUCAGGAAAACUCUACCAUGUUAAAGAAACUAUUAAAAAAAGAGAAACCGGUUUCUGAUCCAGCACCCAGCAGCACAAGCACGCCCUCUAAAGACACUACAUUAAACCUAAAUCUACCCCUUAAAACAUUUGAAGAUGUGGAAAGAACUGAACAAGAGCUGAAAAAGGCAAAAAUGCGCAAAAAAUAUAUUAAAUAUUUGUCAAUGCUUGGAGGGUUUGGGGCGAAGUAUGUGACUAAGAAUAUAAUGCAGCGCGUCCUAACAGAUGAUUUGGCCAAAGAGUUCAACUGGCAGGGGAGAGGUGAAAAAAGACCCUUCUCUCGUCUUGCUUUAGCAGAUAUAA